UUGUUUAAUGGCAUUGUUUAUACAGGUGUCCUUCUCGAAGUUAAAAGGGGAAUGCUGAUUGUUCACCAAAUCCUUGUACACUGGUGCCAAGAUUUUCAACGCACGUUCCUUUUUCUCUAGAAGAAUCAAAACUUGGGAGUCGCACUGAAAUUUGUGCCGCAGAAGAUCGUAUCUUAACAGGUACCCUUUUGGGAUAUUUUUUACACCUCUAAGGACAACACGUAGCAAAUGAAAAAAGUGUUUGAAUGGAUUGUUUAUUAAAUUGAAAAUGACAGUACUCACAAGAAACAUAAAAGUAAAACGAGUUGAGAAAAACGAGUCCCUGGAGCACGAAUUUGCUUAACACCGAAUAUAAUUUUCCUGUACUUCAUUCCUGUACUUAUCAAAUUUUACCAAAUUUUAUCAGAAUCUAAAUUUUAUUAUUAUUUUUUCCCCCGCCCAUACAAGAACCUCUGUCUUAGGACAGAAAAUGAAAGUUCGAGAGUUUGAUCAAACCACAACUCUUAAUUUUCUUGUUCAUUCAUAUUAUGCCUUAGUAAAUAAUACACCCACACACACACAUAUAUAUAUAUAUAUAUAUAUAUAUAUACAUAUAUACAUGUGUGAGAGUAUACACAUACCCACAAAACACCUCAUAAGGUACUGGAGCCAACUCGCCUUUAGUCCGUCAGUUGGCCCACUUGUUCACGGAAAUAGCAUCCCUUUUCCUUGCAACUGGUGACCGUUCGUUCCCAUGAGUUCCCAUGAGUUCCCGAAGUGCGGAUGUCGGGGGAACUCGUCCAAGUAAGCCCCGCAAAAAGGAAUGGCUCCGAGCUGGAUUGUCUGCGUCAGCUCAAGGCAAAUGAAUGGCUCCGAACUUGGCUGGGCUUGUCCGAGUCAGCCCUCUCUCCCUGAGACCACCACUUCAACUCGGAGCCCACCAGCCCUACUUUGGUGGG
Molecule: long non-coding RNA, 938 nt
Filed under: Physcomitrium patens
Lineage: Eukaryota; Viridiplantae; Streptophyta; Bryopsida; Funariales; Funariaceae
Description: long non-coding RNA (PPAT_LNC002117)
Source: RNAcentral